GAUGAACGCUGGCGGCGUGCCUAAUACAUGCAAGUCGAGCGAACAGACGAGGAGCUUGCUCCUCUGACGUUAGCGGCGGACGGGUGAGUAACACGUGGAUAACCUACCUAUAAGACUGGGAUAACUUCGGGAAACCGGAGCUAAUACCGGAUAAUAUAUUGAACCGCAUGGGUCAAGAGUGAAAGACGGUUUUGCUGUCACUUAUAGAUGAAUCCGGGCCGCAUUAGCUAGUGGGUAAGGUAACGGCUUACCAAGGCAACGAUGGGGAGCCGCCCUGAAAGCGUCGUUGCAUAGCUGGGCAGUGAGGCACGGCCCACACUCCUGCGGGGGGACGCAGUCGGGACUCCUACGCGAUGGAGCAGUGCCUGACGUUGCACCGCCGGGUAAGUGAUGAUGGUCUUCGGAUGCUAGAGCUCUGUUAUCCGGGGAGAUCAAAUGUGUAAGUACCUAUGCACGUCUUGACGGUACCUAAUCAGAAAGCCACGGCUAACUCCGUG
Molecule: ribosomal RNA, 497 nt
Filed under: uncultured bacterium
Lineage: Bacteria
Description: partial 16S ribosomal RNA
Rfam family: Bacterial small subunit ribosomal RNA
Source: RNAcentral